GUGCCAGCAGCCGCGGUAAUACGUAGGUCCCGAGCGUUGUCCGGAUUUAUUGGGCGUAAAGCGAGCGCAGGCGGUUUGAUAAGUCUGAAGUUAAAGGCUGUGGCUCAACCAUAGUUCGCUUUGGAAACUGUCAAACUUGAGUGCAGAAGGGGAGAGUGGAAUUCCAUGUGUAGCGGUGAAAUGCGUAGAUAUAUGGAGGAACACCGGUGGCGAAAGCGGCUCUCUGGUCUGUAACUGACGCUGAGGCUCGAAAGCGUGGGGAGCGAACAGGAUUAGAUA
This 279-nucleotide ribosomal RNA is filed under the name uncultured Streptococcaceae bacterium. RNAcentral describes it as "partial 16S ribosomal RNA". It matches the Rfam family "Bacterial small subunit ribosomal RNA", at positions 505 to 784 of the family's 1533-position model. The record is from RNAcentral. Lineage: Bacteria; Bacillati; Bacillota; Bacilli; Lactobacillales; Streptococcaceae.